Mus musculus (house mouse) is the source of this 3408-nucleotide long non-coding RNA. RefSeq annotates it as predicted gene, 45994. The record is from RefSeq and is a predicted model, not a curated record. The transcript is spliced from 2 exons. Lineage: Eukaryota; Metazoa; Chordata; Mammalia; Rodentia; Muridae.
GAAUACACUGAACCUUAUAGAAGAGAAACUGGGCAAUAACCUUGAACUCCUUAGCAAAAGAAAAGACUUUCUGAACAUAACACCAUUAACACAGGCACUAAAAUCAACAACUAAUAAAUGGGGUCUCAUAAUACUGAGAGGCUUCUGGAAAGCAAAGGACACCGUCAUUCAGACAAAGUGGCAGCCUACAGAAUAGGGAAACGUUUCUCCAACUAUACAUCCAUUAGAGGGCUAAUAUCCAAAAUAUAAAGAACUCAAGAAACUAGAUAUCACGAAAACAAACCACCCAGGUGAGUUCCUGCUUACAUUCUAUGUUCUAGCGUCUUUGGUACACGAAGCUAUUCUGCCCACUACCAAAAGAGAAAUGCAAACACCAGCCCAGCCACAGACUUUUUAUCUACCGUGGUGUCUUACCUGUAAGAUAUGCUAGGGCAAUGGUGGUACAAAGCUUGUGGGAGUAGCCAAUCAAUAGCUGAUUUGACUUAAGACCCACACCACAAAAUAGAACCCAUAUCUGACACUGCUUGGGUAACCAAGAACCCGAGACUAGCCCAGGGAAUUAGUGGUAAACAAAAAACUACUGUUCUAAAACAAAAACAAAAAACCCAAGCCAAACCAAAGCAUGGCAAUAAAAUGACUCCUUAAUGAUAUUUCUCUAUACUCAUAGAUCAGUGCCUCAUUUAGCUCUCACCAGAGAGACUUCCUUCUGCAGCAGAUGAGAACAAAUACAGAGAUCCAUCGGCCAGACAUGAUGCAGAGAGUGAGAGACCUUGGAACACUGGAAACCAUGGAAAACCUGGAGGACUGUCUUUGGUCCACUGAAGUUACAUUGAAGAUACUCAUUGUCCAAGCAGGAGCUUACUCUCUGUCACGAGUUAGCCACUGCUACAAACGUCUUCUCUGAUUUCAUCAGGCAGAUCAUGUUCAGGAUCCUCAGGAGCACUUGAAAGAAUAAUCUUUUUCCAUAAAGGGCUGGCUCUGAAAGCCUUGCUUUGUCUGUGCCUCCUGGGCUUACACUGAUAUGUUAAUAUUACGAUCCCAAUGAGAACAGAGACCAGACUCAUUGGUGCCAUUGUGAGGGUCAGGGGGAGAUCAAACAUCUCAAAGUCCCAUUCACAAGACAGAUUUAUUUAUGUUCCUAAGGGUUCCAUAAUUGCCAUCUGAGAAGCUCCAAUUAAAGUGGCAACAUUUCUUCCUUCUGGCAACGUUAUAAGUGUUUUGAUUUUGACCAGUUGUGUCUGAGAAAGAAGGGUGGACUCAAGACUACUAGCUGUCCACCAACGUAUGCUCGCCUAUUCAAAAGUAGUCGACAGUGGCUGGGACAUGAGUAGCCAGACAGACCUCCUGUAUCAGCUUCCCUUGCAGCCUGUUGGAGGAUAAGUCCUUGUAAAAGGGUCUAAGCAAAAGAAAUGUAUGCAGCUUUUUGCCAUGUGUGUUUUAGAGUAAACCUCUGGCCCUGGACUCCUAUUCUCUGUUUCUCCUCACUGAGCACAAAAUCAACAACAGAAAGACUCUGAGGAAUACAUGUUAAAGCUGGCUGGAGUCACUGGAUGUCACCGAACAACAGACUGCAGCAGCACCAUCAGCCUACUCUGGUUACCACCGGUGGACCAUACUCGAUUGCACCUCCUAAUCAAGUCUUUCUAAUUCUUUAACCUCAACUUCCAGAACCAUCCACAAAUACUUCCUUUUCCUCCUUCUUUGGUAUAUGCAUGUACAUAUUUGUGUAUGUGCAGCUGGAGGCCAGAGGGUAAUUCUGGCUGCUGUUUUUCAGCUUUCUUGUUUUAUUAGAUACAAUCUCUUAUUGGCCUGGUGCUUUCCAAGGAGGCUAGACUAGAUGGCCAUUGAAUCCUGGGGAUCUACUUGUCUCCCCUCCCCAGGUGCUGAGAUUGCAAAUACCUGCAGCCAAGCCCAGCCUCUUUCAAAGGCAAGAGCUUCCCUGAGAGCAUCCUUUCUCUCACAGGCAUCCUUUCUCCUCUUUUUUGUAUUUUGUUUAUUUUUCAAGACAGGGUUUCUCUGUGUAGCCCUGGCUCUCCUAGAACUCACUCUGUGGAUCAGGCUGGCCUCGAACUCACAGAGCUACAUCUUCCUCUGCCUCCUGAGUGCAGAAUAAAGGAGUAAAGGCAUGUGCCACUCCCGCCCAGCUCCUUUUCCUCUUUUGACCUUCACAUUAUUAUCUGUCUCUCCUACUUUCUAUGCUUCUAGUUAGUGCUAUUAUACUUUUGUUUUUUAUUUCAUGUGUCCUUCCCCUUACCCCUGUUAUUGUAACCUAAGGUGACUUUGAACUUACUAAGCAGCUGUGGAUGGUCUUGAACUCCUGAUCCUCCUACCUUACCUCCCAAGUGCUAAGAUGGCAAACAUGAACCAUCCCACCCAAUCUCCAUCUUGUCUCUGAAACUUGAAGACUCCUUUAAGAUGGGACACUCUGCUCCUGUUUCCCAGCUAGCACAGCUGUGAUGGAUGCUGGUGAAAACUCUUCAUCUUUGGGGAGUGGUUAUGUCAUCAGCUUAGCGUUGCCCCUUCCCCAGAGACUGGUCCUCAAGCAAAUGUGAGCAUGCUUGGGUGUUGGAGGGAGUAUCUCUCUAAUCGCCAGCAGGCCUAACAUGGUAAAAAAGGGAAGCCACAAAAGGUAGAACUAACUCAGCAGCAAACAUUAGACCCUUCCCUAGGAACUACCCUGUUGCUAAUUCAACCAAGAGCACAUCCCGGUGAGCUUGUUUCUCACUGUGCUCUCCUGCAGUAGCUCAUGGCUGCCGGCCCUCUCCACAGAACUUUCCUCCUCUGACCAGAACCCCCUCACCUCCUCCUCUAGUCUUCCCAUUUGAGCUGCAUGACUUACGAUGAUGAACUAACGGGUCCCCUUACCUCAAAAGAGUGUAUAUUUUGCAGAUACUUUGUGUCCCAGCCACGUAUGACAGUUCCCUGUGCAUCAGACCAAGGCUAGGCACACCCUGAGAUGCGCUUUGUUAGGCUCUUUCCCUCCCCUGUGCAGUUCAUUCUGUCCCUUGCAUGGUUUUCCUGCCAAGCAUCCCUCACCAGGAAACAUCUGUCUUGGGGUCUCCUUCUAACAUCACUGGUCUCAACCCUUUGCUCUCAAAAUGACUUUCUCAAUUAGUCCUGGGGAAUCUCAGAUUUGGCCUGUGCAUGCCACGGGCAUGAUUAAGUGGUUUGUUCUGAAGACACUUGGUCAAGCAUAAGUGAGCUUUUUUGAAACAAUUAUAGGGAAUACCUACUAUGUUAUACUAUUGUGAGACAUUAACACCUGAAUUAAAGACAUGUAAAUCCAUAGGCCGGUGUCUGCUAUAAUGCAGAUGCCCUCAUGGAUUGCUUGCUAACUUAUGCAUGACAUCAUGUUUUGGCAACGCUUACAGUAUAGUAUGUACGCAAUAAAUAUAUCUGGUCCAUAAA